UGGGGAAUUUUGGACAAUGGGCGAAAGCCUGAUCCAGCAAUGCCGCGUGUGUGAAGAAGGCCUUCGGGUUGUAAAGCACUUUUGUCCGGAAAGAAAUCCUUGGCUCUAAUACAGUCGGGGGAUGACGGUACCGGAAGAAUAAGCACUGGCUAACUACGUGCCAGCAGCCGCGGUAAUACGUAGGGUGCAAGCGUUAAUCGGAAUUACUGGGCGUAAAGCGUGCGCAGGCGGUUUGCUAAGACCGAUGUGAAAUCCCCGGGCUCAACCUGGGAACUGCAUUGGUGACUGGCAGGCUAGAGUAUGGCAGAGGGGGGUAGAAUUCCACGUGUAGCAGUGAAAUGCGUAGAGAUGUGGAGGAAUACCGAUGGCGAAGGCAGCCCCUGGGCCAAUACUGACGCUCAUGCACGAAAAGCGUGGGGAGCAAAACAGGAUUAGAUACCCUGGUAGUCCACGCCCUAAACGAUGUCAACUAGUUGUUGGGGAUUCAUUUCCUUAGUAACGUAGCUAACGCGUGAAGUUGACCGCCUGGGGAGUACGGUCGCAAGAUUAAAACUCAAAUGAUUGACGGGGG
Molecule: ribosomal RNA, 571 nt
Filed under: uncultured bacterium
Lineage: Bacteria
Description: partial 16S ribosomal RNA
Rfam family: Bacterial small subunit ribosomal RNA
Source: RNAcentral